Molecule: non-coding RNA, 30 nt
Filed under: Homo sapiens (human)
Lineage: Eukaryota; Metazoa; Chordata; Mammalia; Primates; Hominidae
Source: RNAcentral
UCAAUGGUGAAGAGGUCUCCUAUGUCCCUU